Molecule: ribosomal RNA, 350 nt
Filed under: Aliolimnatis michaelseni
Lineage: Eukaryota; Metazoa; Annelida; Clitellata; Hirudinida; Hirudinidae
Description: partial 12S ribosomal RNA
Source: RNAcentral
GUUCAAUAUAAAGAUUGGGGAGUACAAGCUAUAAGCUUAAAAACCAAAGAAUAUGGCGGUAUUAUAAUUUAUUAGGGUGGCUUGUAUCUUAAUAUGAUAAUCCACGAUAAAUAAUCCUUAUUUAGAAAGUUCAAUAUAUGUACUGCCGUUAUAAUAUAAUUGAAAAAAAAUUAUAUAAUAUAUAUAUAUAUAUAUAUAUAUAUAUAUAUAAUCAGGUCAAAGUGUAAUCAAUAAUAAGGUGAAUUAUGAGCUACUAUUAUUUAUCACAUUCAGAUUAUUAUUUAAAUUAAUAAAAAGUAGAACUUAAAAGUAAUUAAAUUAAUUAAUUUUAAUGAAUAUAAUUUAUAAUG